This 497-nucleotide ribosomal RNA is filed under the name uncultured bacterium. RNAcentral describes it as "partial 16S ribosomal RNA". It matches the Rfam family "Bacterial small subunit ribosomal RNA", at positions 28 to 507 of the family's 1533-position model. The record is from RNAcentral.
GAUGAACGCUGGCGGCGUGCCUAAUACAUGCGAGUCGAGCGAACAGAUGAGGAGCUUGCUCCUCUGACGUUAGCGGCGGACGGGUGAGUAACACGUGGAUAACCUACCUAUAAGACUGGGAUAACUUCGGGAAACCGGAGCUAAUACCGGAUAAUAUAUUGAACCGCAUGGUUCAAUAGUGAAAGACGGUUUUGCCGUCACUUAUAGAUGGAUCCGCGCCGCAUUAGCUAGUUGGUAAGGUAACGGCUUACCAAGGCAACGAUGCGUAGCCGACCUGAGAGGGUGAUCGGCCACACUGGAACUGAGACACGGUCCAGACCCCUACGGGAGGCAGCAGUAGGGAAUCUUCCGCAAUGGGCGAAAGCCUGACGGAGCAACGCCGCGUGAGUGAUGAAGGUCUUCGGAUCGUAAAACUCUGUUAUUGGGGAAGAACAAAUGUGUAAGUAACUAUGCACGUCUUGACGGUACCUAAUCAGAAAGCCACGGCUAACUACGUG